CAGCCGCCACGGUAAUACGGAGGGUGCAAGCGUUAAUCGGAAUUACUGGGCGUAAAGCGCACGCAGGCGGUCUGACAAGUCAGAUGUGAAAUCCCCGGGCUUAACCUGGGAACUGCAUUUGAAACUGGCAGGCUAGAGUCUUGUAGAGGGGGGUAGAAUUCCAGGUGUAGCGGUGAAAUGCGUAGAGAUCUGGAGGAAUACCGGUGGCGAAGGCGGCCCCCUGGACAAAGACUGACGCUCAGGUGCGAAAGCGUGGGGAGCAAACAGGAUUAGAUACCCGGGUAGUCCCUGUCUCUUUAAA
Molecule: ribosomal RNA, 301 nt
Filed under: uncultured bacterium
Lineage: Bacteria
Description: partial 16S ribosomal RNA
Rfam family: Bacterial small subunit ribosomal RNA
Source: RNAcentral